This 24-nucleotide non-coding RNA is filed under the name Arabidopsis thaliana (thale cress). The record is from RNAcentral. Lineage: Eukaryota; Viridiplantae; Streptophyta; Magnoliopsida; Brassicales; Brassicaceae.
AACUAACUGGCAAACAUCGCACUC